AAUCCUGGCUCAGGAUGAACGCUAGCUACAGGCUUAACACAUGCAAGUCGAGGGGCAGCAUGGACCCAGCUUUGCUGGGUUUGAUGGCGAUCGGCGCACGGGUGAGUAACGCGUAUCCAACCUGCUCUUUACUCCGGGAUAGUCUCCUGAAAGGGAGUUUAAUACCGGAUGUGUUUGUCUUUCCGCAUGGGAGCGACAAAUAAAGAUUAAUUGGUAAAGGAUGGGGAUGCGUCCCAUUAGCUUGUUGG
This 248-nucleotide ribosomal RNA is filed under the name uncultured bacterium. RNAcentral's name for it is "partial 16S ribosomal RNA". It matches the Rfam family "Bacterial small subunit ribosomal RNA", at positions 15 to 252 of the family's 1533-position model. The record is from RNAcentral.